RNAcentral lists this ribosomal RNA (763 nucleotides) under Heterosigma akashiwo. RNAcentral describes it as "partial Bacterial large subunit ribosomal RNA". It matches the Rfam family "Bacterial large subunit ribosomal RNA", at positions 1060 to 1814 of the family's 2925-position model. The record is from RNAcentral. Lineage: Eukaryota; Raphidophyceae; Chattonellales; Chattonellaceae.
UAAGUGGGAAACGAUGUGGGAAGGCUUAGACAGCUAGGAGGUUGGCUUAGAAGCAGCCACCCUUUAAAGAAAGCGUAAUAGCUCACUGGACUAGUGGUUCUGCGCCGAAAAUGUAACGGGGCUUAAGAUACGUACCGAAGCUAUGGACUUUUUAAAGUGGUAGGAGAGCAUUGUGUUUACCGAUGAAGGUGUACCGCGAGGAGCACUGGAGGUCCCACAAGAGCUGAUGAUGGCAUGAGUAGCGAUAAGGAAUGUGAGAAUCAUUCCCGCCGAAAAUCUAAGGGUUCCUGGGCCAGGUGACUCCGCCCAGGGUUAGUCGGAUCCUAAGGUGAGGCCGAAAGGCGUAAUCGAUGGAUAACAGGUUAAUAUUCCUGUACUUAGUAUGUCUCGCUUGACUUGAUGGAGUGACGGAGAAAGGUAGCAAAGCCACCUGUUGGAUGGUGGUUUAAGCACGUAGGGGGACUGGAUAGGUAAAUCCGUCUGGUUGUUAACCCUGAGAUGCGAAUACGAGGCGUAAGCCGAAGUUUGUGAUCCUCUGCUUCCCAGAAAAACUUCGCAAGGAGAGAUAUAUUAAUCCGUACCGUAAACCGACACAGGUAGAUGAGGAGAGAAUCCUCAGGCGCUUGGGAGAACUCUAGUUAAGGAACUCUGCAAAUUGGAGCCGUAACUUCGGGAUAAGGCUCGCCCUUGUUGGUGAUAUCACUUGCUGAUAAAGCUGAUGGGGGCCGCAGUGAAAAGGGGGUAGCGACUGUUUAUCAAAAAC